This 292-nucleotide ribosomal RNA is filed under the name uncultured bacterium. RNAcentral describes it as "partial 16S ribosomal RNA". The record is from RNAcentral.
GGACUACCGGGGUUUCUAAUCCCGUUCGCUCCCCUAGCUUUCGCACCUGAGCGUCAGGUACUCCCCAGGACACUGCCUACGCCUUCGGUGUUCCUCCGGAUAUCUACGCAUUUCACCACUCCACCCGGAAUUCCGUGUCCCUCUGAAGCCCUCAAGUCACGCAGUUUUCGAAGCACUUGCUCAGUUAAGCCGAGCACUGUCACUCCAAACUUGCGCGACCGCCUGCGUGCGCUUUACGCCCAGUAACUCCGGACAACGCUUGCCUCCUACGUAUUACCGCGGCUGCUGGCAC